This 468-nucleotide ribosomal RNA is filed under the name uncultured bacterium. Its description in RNAcentral is "partial 16S ribosomal RNA". It matches the Rfam family "Bacterial small subunit ribosomal RNA", at positions 28 to 507 of the family's 1533-position model. The record is from RNAcentral.
GACGAACGCUGGCGGCGUGCUUAACACAUGCAAGUCGAACGGAAAGGCCCUGCUUUUGUGGGGUGCUCGAGUGGCGAACGGGUGAGUAACACGUGAGUAACCUGCCCUUGACUUUGGGAUAACUUCAGGAAACUGGGGCUAAUACCGGAUAGGAGCUCCUGCUGCAUGGUGGGGGUUGGAAAGUUUCGGCGGUUGGGGAUGGACUCGCGGCUUAUCAGCUUGUUGGUGGGGUAGUGGCUUACCAAGGCUUUGACGGGUAGCCGGCCUGAGAGGGUGACCGGCCACAUUGGGACUGAGAUACGGCCCAGACUCCUACGGGAGGCAGCAGUGGGGAAUAUUGCGCAAUGGGCGGAAGCCUGAUGCAGCAACGCCGCGUGCGGGAUGACGGCCUUCGGGUUGUAAACCGCUUUCGCCUGUGACGAAGCGUGAGUGACGGUAAUGUGUAAAGAAGCACCGGCUAACUACGUG